CCAACAUUAUAAAUAAAACUUCACUGGUUUCUUUUUUGAAAUGAGCAUGAGCAAAUCGGCAAAUCUCAAAUUUGCACAAAUUUAUUUUAUUUACGCGCCAUUAUUUAGCUUGUAUUUGUAAAUUUGUUUGAUUGUUUGUUUUGUAUCUUGCCGUCGUCUUUUGAGGAACGGCAACGGCUAAUCAUUUACAUUUUAAUACGUAUAUCUGUAUUUUACAAUCGCAAUUAUGCAAAAUUUUUUAACUUCUAGUUCGAGAUCAUCAGAUGAAGAGGAAUUUAUUAUUGUACUUAGUUAGAAGAAAACCAAAAAUUUACAGACUAAGAACCAACUGUUUUGAAAAAUUUGAUGAUGUUGAUUUUUUUCGAAAAUUUAAUUUACGAAAACAGACAGUUUUGUUCCUUUUGCACAAAAUAGAAAGGCAAAUCUCUUUGCCUACUAAUAGAGGUGGAUCCAUUACUCCCAUGCAACAAAUACAGUGACGGUUUUAGACAUCAUGGGACCCUAGGCGGCCAUAAGAAGUAGACCCCUUUAUAGCGACCAUUUACUUAAAACAAAUUUACAGAUAUUUACAAAAUAAAUGACGACUGUAAAAAAGAU
This 597-nucleotide unclassified non-coding RNA is filed under the name Diabrotica virgifera virgifera (western corn rootworm). RNAcentral describes it as "uncharacterized LOC114328932". The record is from RNAcentral. Lineage: Eukaryota; Metazoa; Arthropoda; Insecta; Coleoptera; Chrysomelidae.